Molecule: long non-coding RNA, 132 nt
Organism: Leopardus geoffroyi (Geoffroy's cat)
Lineage: Eukaryota; Metazoa; Chordata; Mammalia; Carnivora; Felidae
Exons: 3
Source: RefSeq, a predicted model, not a curated record
GGAGGGCACAGAGAAAGGGAGAGAGAGAAUUCCAAGUAAGCUGCACUGUCAGCACAGAGCCCCAUUUGGAGCUCAAGCUCACCAACCAUCAGAUCACGACCUGAGCUGAAACCAAGAGUUGGAUACUAAACC